RNAcentral lists this ribosomal RNA (253 nucleotides) under uncultured bacterium. RNAcentral's name for it is "partial 16S ribosomal RNA". It matches the Rfam family "Bacterial small subunit ribosomal RNA", at positions 524 to 776 of the family's 1533-position model. The record is from RNAcentral.
UACGGAGGGGGCUAGCGUUGUUCGGAAUUACUGGGCGUAAAGGGCGCGUAGGCGGUCUAUUAAGUCAGAUGUGAAAGACCUAGGCUUAACCUAGGAGGUGCGUUUGAUACUGAUAGGCUAGAGAAUGGUAGAGGAAAGCGGAAUUCCUAGUGUAGAGGUGAAAUUCGUAGAUAUUAGGAGGAACACCAGAGGCGAAGGCGGCUUUCUGGGCCAUUUCUGACGCUGAGGCGCGAAAGCGUGGGGAGCAAACAGG